Molecule: ribosomal RNA, 495 nt
Filed under: Petaloconchus sp. AM-2010
Lineage: Eukaryota; Metazoa; Mollusca; Gastropoda; Littorinimorpha; Vermetidae
Description: partial 16S ribosomal RNA
Rfam family: Bacterial large subunit ribosomal RNA
Source: RNAcentral
GUCUCCUUGGAAGUGGAAGAUAGGGAGUCCAACCUGCCCUAUGAUGUAAAAUAAAUCAUUAAAUGGCCGCGGUACUUUGACCGUGCGAAGGUAGCGUAAUAAUUUGUCUAUUAAUUGUAGACUGGAAUGAAUGGUUAGAUGAGGAAAAAGCUGUCUCUUUUUAUAUUUAUAGAAAUUGACAUUUAGGUUAAAAGGCCUAAAUAAAACACAUAGACGAGAAGACCCUAUUUGAGCUUUAUUAUGUUGUUGGUCGAAGAGGCGGUAGCUGUAAUUUGGUUGGGGCGACAGAAGAACAUGAAAAGCUUCUUUUGAGUUUAGGAAAUGAACGGUGAUCCGAUAGAUGUCGAUAGAAGGAAUUAGUUACCGUAGGGAUAACAGCAUUAUUUUUCUUAAGAGCUCCUAUCGAAAGAAAAUUUUGUGACCUCGAUGUUGGACUAGGGUAUCCUGAGGGAGCAGCCACUCUCAAGGGUUGGUCUGUUCGACCAUAAAAAUCCU